GUCGAACGCAACCUUCGGGUAAGUGGCGGACGGGUGAGUAACGCGUGAGAAUCUGCCUGGGGUCGGGGACAACCACUGGAAACGGUGGCUAAUACCGGAUAAGCCUUUGGGUAAAAGAUUUAUUGCCCCAAGAGGAGCUCGCGUCUGAUUAGCUAGUUGGUGAGGUAAAAGCUCACCAAGGCAGCGAUCAGUAGCUGGUCUGAGAGGACGAUCAGCCACACUGGGACUGAGACACGGCCCAGACUCCUACGGGAGGCAGCAGUGGGGAAUUUUCCGCAAUGGGCGAAAGCCUGACGGAGCAAGACCGCGUGAGGGAGGAAGGCUCUUGGGUUGUAAACCUCUUUUCUCAGGGAAGAAGCUCUGACGGUACCUGAGGAAUCAGCCUCGGCUAACUCCGUGCCAGCAGCCGCGGUAAUACGGAGGAGGCAAGCGUUAUCCGGAAUUAUUGGGCGUAAAGCGUCAGCAGGUGGCGAUUCAAGUCUGCUGUCAAAGCACGGGGCUUAACUCCGUUAAGGCAGUGGAAACUGAAUAGCUAGAGUGCCGUAGGGGUAGAGGGAAUUCCCGGUGUAGCGGUGAAAUGCGUAGAGAUCGGGAAGAACAUCGGUGGCGAAAGCGCUCUACUGGACGGCAACUGACACCUCAGGGACGAAAGCUAGGGGAGCGAAUGGGAUUAGAUACCCCAGUAGUCCUAGCUGUAAACGAUGGAUACUAGGUGUAGCUAGUAUCGACCCGAGCUGUG
RNAcentral lists this ribosomal RNA (739 nucleotides) under uncultured organism. RNAcentral describes it as "bacterial SSU rRNA". It matches the Rfam family "Bacterial small subunit ribosomal RNA", at positions 61 to 845 of the family's 1533-position model. The record is from RNAcentral.